This 524-nucleotide ribosomal RNA is filed under the name Legionella nautarum. RNAcentral's name for it is "bacterial SSU rRNA". It matches the Rfam family "Bacterial small subunit ribosomal RNA", at positions 45 to 558 of the family's 1533-position model. The record is from RNAcentral. Lineage: Bacteria; Pseudomonadati; Pseudomonadota; Gammaproteobacteria; Legionellales; Legionellaceae.
UGCUUAACACAUGCAAGUCGAACGGCAGCACGGUCUAGCUUGCUAGAUGGGUGGCGAGUGGCGAACGGGUGAGUAACGCGUAGGAAUAUGCCUUGAAGUUUGGGAUAACAUGGGGAAACUCAUGCUAAUACCGGAUGAGCUCGAGAGAGGAAAGCUGGGGACCUUUUGGCCUGGCGCUUUAAGAUUAGCCUGCGUCCGAUUAGCUAGUUGGUGGGGUAAGGGCCUACCAAGGCGACGAUCGGUAGCUGGUCUGAGAGGAUGGCCAGCCACACUGGGACUGAGACACGGCCCAGACUCCUACGGGAGGCAGCAGUGGGGAAUAUUGGACAAUGGGGGGAACCCUGAUCCAGCAAUGCCGCGUGUGUGAAGAAGGCCUGAGGGUUGUAAAGCACUUUCAGUGGGGAGGAGGAUUGAUUGGUUAAGAGCUGAUUGAUUGGACGUUACCCACAGAAGAAGCACCGGCUAACUCCGUGCCAGCAGCCGCGGUAAUACGGAGGGUGCGAGCGUUAAUCGGAAUUACUGGG